AACCGGUCAGUGGCAGACGGGUGCGUAACACGUAGGUGACCUGCCCUCGAGUGGGGAAUAACUCGACUAACGUCGAGCUAAUACCGCAUAUGCUCACCGCUUCGGUGUGGUGAGUAAAGCAGUAAUGCGCUUGGGGAUGGGCCUGCGGCGGAUUAGGUAGUUGGUGGGGUAACGGCCUACCAAGCCGAUGAUCCGUAGGGGGCGUGAGAGCGUGGCCCCCCACAUUGGCACUGAGACACGGGCCAAACUCCUACGGGAGGCAGCAGUGAGGAAUAUUGCACAAUGGGCGAAAGCCUGAUGCAGCAACGCCGCGUGAGGGACGAAGGCCUUCGGGUUGUAAACCUCUUUUCUGAGGGACGAGGAAGGACGGUACCUCAGGAAUAAGUCUCGGCUAACUACGUGCCAGCAGCCGCGGUAAAACGUAGGAGGCGAGCGUUAUCCGGAUUUACUGGGCGUAAAGCGCACGCAGGUGGCGAUGUAAGUCGGACAUGAAAGCUCCUGGCUUAACUGGGAGAGGUGGUUCGAAACUGCAUGGCUUGAGGUUGGGAGAGGGACGUGGAAUUCCCGGUGUAGUGGUGGAAUGCGUAGAUAUCGGGAGGAACACCAGUGGCGCAAGCGGCGUCCUGGCCCACACCUGACGCUGAGGUGCGAAAGCGUGGGUAGCAAACAGGAUUAGAUACCCUGGUAGUCCACGCUGUAAACGAUGUCAACUAGGUGUCGGCAGUUUUACACUGGCGGUGCCGAAGCCAACGCGUUAAGUUGACCGCCUG
RNAcentral lists this ribosomal RNA (770 nucleotides) under uncultured bacterium. RNAcentral describes it as "bacterial SSU rRNA". It matches the Rfam family "Bacterial small subunit ribosomal RNA", at positions 86 to 875 of the family's 1533-position model. The record is from RNAcentral.